CAAGGCAGGGUGGACUAACGCCGUAUGCAAUAUGCUCUAAAAGGAAGGAAGCCCGGGGAAACUCGGAUAAUACUCCAUAAGAUUUUGAUUGGCAUCGAUUAGAAUUGAAAGAUUUAUUGGAUAAGGAUAGGCAUGCGUCAGAUUAGUUAGUUGGUAGUGUAACGGACUACCAAGGCGAUGAUCUGUAGGGGGCCUGAGAGGGUGAACCCCCACACUGGUACUGAGACACGGACCAGACUCCUACGGGAGGCAGCAGUGAGGAAUAUUGGACAAUGGAGGGAACUCUGAUCCAGCCAUCCCGCGUGCAGGAAGACGGCCCUAUGGGUUGUAAACUGCUUUUGUAUGGGGAUAAAUCUACUUACGUGUAGGUAGUUGAAGGUACCAUACGAAUAAGCAUCGGCUAACUCCGUGCCAGCAGCCGCGGUAAUACGGAGGAUGCAAGCGUUAUCCGGAUUCAUUGGGUUUAAAGGGUCCGUAGGCGGGCUGAUAAGUCAGUGGUGAAAUUUUGUCGCUCAACGAUAAAACUGCCAUUGAUACUGUUAGUCUUGAGUGAUAUUGAAGUAGCUGGAAUGUGUAGUGUAGCGGUGAAAUGCAUAGAUAUUACACAGAACACCGAUUGCGAAGGCAGGUUACUAAGUAUUAACUGACGCUGAAGGACGAAAGCGUGGGGAGCGAACAGGAUUAGAUACCCUGGUAGUCCACGCAGUAAACGAUGCUAACUCGUUUUCGGGGAGAGAUCUUCGAACCAAGAGAAAAAAAAAAAAAAA
Molecule: ribosomal RNA, 767 nt
Filed under: Ornithobacterium rhinotracheale
Lineage: Bacteria; Pseudomonadati; Bacteroidota; Flavobacteriia; Flavobacteriales; Weeksellaceae
Description: bacterial SSU rRNA
Rfam family: Bacterial small subunit ribosomal RNA
Source: RNAcentral